Cyprinodon variegatus (sheepshead minnow) is the source of this 1192-nucleotide long non-coding RNA. RefSeq lists it as uncharacterized. The record is from RefSeq and is a predicted model, not a curated record. The transcript has 5 exons. Lineage: Eukaryota; Metazoa; Chordata; Actinopteri; Cyprinodontiformes; Cyprinodontidae.
GACUAGAGGAGAAUCAAGCAGAGCUCUGACAGCACAGAGACCAUCAUGAGACAGAAACCUCUAGAGAUGCUCCUCACUUUGCCUUUUUGUCUCCUCAGCACCAACAUUUGUGGUGAAUGUGGCACAGAGCUCCUAUCAGGCAGAGGAGAACCACAACAUCACUCUGGAGUGGACCUUCACCACCAGACCUCAGGGAUCCUGGACAAAACUGGAUGUUAUCUGCAGUAGGCUGGCUCCCCUCAGAGCCUCAGUCCUCUAUCAGGCUCAUGAUGGUGUUGAGGUAUCAGAGUCUCUGGAUGAACAGUUUUCAGGACGUGUCCAGGUGGACAAAGACGUCCUCAGAGAAGGACGGAUCAGAUUCCAUGUUUCCAGAUUGACGACAGGAGACUCUGGGCUCUAUGUGUGUAACAUUAGGACUGACUAUGGGGAGGGCUUUGCAGAGUGCUGUGUCACAGUCACUGUCCCAGACUUUAUCAAAAUAAAGAAAACAGAGACGGUUCAUGAGAGAAACCUCCCUAUUCCAACACCGAAGGAUGAGACCAUUGAUGCUGGUGGUUGGUCCAGGCUGUUUCCCCGCUUUCACUUUGUUUUCUUCAUCAUUUUCAUUAUCGUCUUCAUUAUUUGUCUGAUUGUUUACAUCAGCAUAAGAAAAAACAGCUGAAAGAAGGUUUCAGAAAAAUCCCGAGUCAGGCCUCAGCCUUGCAGAUUACUGCCUUGCUCAUGGGCAGAGCUGCAUUGAUGUAGAUGGGAGCUACACAAAGUCGUCUCUCCUGCAGCUUCCUAAGGAUUAAGAUCCCACCCUGCAGCAGAAUCCUGGAGAUCAGUCCUCGUAUCAGUCAGAGUUCUAUCGAUGAAACCAGGUUCUCCAUGUUUGCUGUCAGGUUCUGCAGGAAUCCUCCAAACCUUCAGAUGAUCAAACGUUCUGGGUUUAUCUCGAGGAAAAACAAUGAUUUGACUUUUCAGAGCAGAAAAGAAUAUUAUAGUUUUAGUUUCUUUUAACUUGAGCUUUUUAUUGUGUUAGUUAAUUUGUUAGUCAUGUUUAAACUUUAGAUUAAACUGAUCUGGCAUCAUGUUCAAUUUAAGGUCUUCAUGUAGUUGCUGAUCCAUCUGUUUAACUCAGGUUAACUUUUAGCAGAACCAGGUCUGUUGAUCAGAUUGAAGCUUUUUUUUUAGGAGAUAUUGAAAUUGUUCU